Molecule: long non-coding RNA, 526 nt
Organism: Haliotis rubra (blacklip abalone)
Lineage: Eukaryota; Metazoa; Mollusca; Gastropoda; Lepetellida; Haliotidae
Exons: 5
Source: RefSeq, a predicted model, not a curated record
AUCAGUUAGGUAUUAUCGUUGGACCUUUCAUUUCUCAAAACGCUCGACCAACAGACGCUGUUCAUAGAUUGACGGCACGCCGAGUACUACAGUGUGGACGCCUAUUUUCAACAUGAAGGGCAUCAGUCUGAUAUUCUUGGCAAUGGGAUCUAAAUGUCAGCCCAGGCUGGGUCCCCGGAACAAGAGCUUCAUCCAAGACGUGCAUCAUGGAGCAGCAGCUACGGCGCCGGGUUACGAAGCAAGAGGGAUGCGGUGGCUGCUCGCCGCAGAUCUGAGUCUCUUAACUACCUAGAUUAUUGAUCAACCGUGGGUCAUUUUCUCAAUUGAUGAAGAUCUGAACGAUCCCCCACAGAAGGAUGUGGCUGUACUCAUUUAACAAAUAAAAGCAACGUAAAUCCAACCAAAGAUACACAUCAUAUUUUGUUUCACAUAUAAUGCUUUAUUUUCACCAUGAUAACAAGUUUCUGAAGCGCCAUCCUGGAAGCUUUGAUGAGCUUCGUUUGAUGGUUAGGUGAGAUAUGUCUAU